This 180-nucleotide ribosomal RNA is filed under the name Triticum aestivum (bread wheat). RNAcentral describes it as "partial small subunit ribosomal RNA". The record is from RNAcentral. Lineage: Eukaryota; Viridiplantae; Streptophyta; Magnoliopsida; Poales; Poaceae.
AUGGACGCGGGGUGUACCGGCAAGCUGUUCAUCAGAACCAUGGGGUAUGGGCGCUACUCCUUACAUCUGGACACGGCCAAGAUCGAGCGCCUGCACACCAAGCAUGGCAAGGAGUACGGCCACCCGAUGUGCGCCUACUUCCUCGCGUGGCCGCCUGCCUUCCUCGCUCCAGAGAACUGA